AAGUCGUAACAAGGUUUCCGUAGGUGAACCUGCGGAAGGAUCAUUACAACACCCUUUUUUAUUAAUUAUUAAUUUUUAUUAAUUAAUAAUUAUAAACCCACUUUGUUGAACCUUUAUCUUAUUUUGUUAUGAAUUAUUUUUGUUAUGAAUGGGAUUUUCUUUUUUUUUUCUUACAAAAAAAGAGAAGAUUUCCAUUUUCAUAUCCAAUCUUAUCUUAUUAUCUUAUAUUAUCUCUUUAUUUUUCUUUUUUUCUUUUUUGGAUCUUCAACUUUUGUUUUGAAGUAAACAAAAAAAACAAAAGAAAACUAUGGAUAAUUCUGUUAAAAAACAAAACAAAAAACUAUUAUAAAUCUAAACAAUUUAUAAUAAUAAAUAAUAUAAUAUGAGAGUACAACUCUUAACAAUGGAUAUCUAGGCUCUCGU
Molecule: unclassified non-coding RNA, 423 nt
Filed under: fungal sp.
Lineage: Eukaryota; Fungi
Description: partial internal transcribed spacer region
Rfam family: Eukaryotic small subunit ribosomal RNA (bases 1-46)
Source: RNAcentral